CGGGGUGAGUAACGCGUGGGAAUAUGCCCUUUGGUACGGAACAACUGAGGGAAACUUCAGCUAAUACCUAUGUGCCCUUCGGGGGAAAGAUUUAUCGCCAUUGGAGUAGCCCGCGUUGGAUUAGGUAGUUGGUGAGGAAAGGCUCACCAAGCCUACGAUCCAUAGCUGGUCUGAGAGGAUGAUCAGCCACAUUGGGACUGAGACACGGCCCAG
Molecule: ribosomal RNA, 213 nt
Filed under: uncultured bacterium
Lineage: Bacteria
Description: partial 16S ribosomal RNA
Rfam family: Bacterial small subunit ribosomal RNA
Source: RNAcentral